UGGGGAAUAUUGGACAAUGGGCGAAAGCCUGAUCCAGCCAUGCCGCGUGUGUGAAGAAGGUCUUCGGAUUGUAAAGCACUUUAAGUUGGGAGGAAGGGCAGUAAGCGAAUACCUUGCUGUUUUGACGUUACCGACAGAAUAAGCACCGGCUAACUCUGUGCCAGCAGCCGCGGUAAUACAGAGGGUGCAAGCGUUAAUCGGAAUUACUGGGCGUAAAGCGCGCGUAGGUGGUUCGUUAAGUUGAAUGUGAAAGCCCCGGGCUCAACCUGGGAACUGCAUACAAAACUGGCGAGCUAGAGUAGGGCAGAGAGUGGUGGAAUUUCCUGUGUAGCGGUGAAAUGCGUAGAUAUAGGAAGGAACACCAGUGGCGAAGGCGACCACCUGGGCUCAUACUGACACUGAGGUGCGAAAGCGUGGGGAGCAAACAGG
RNAcentral lists this ribosomal RNA (429 nucleotides) under Pseudomonadota bacterium. RNAcentral describes it as "Proteobacteria bacterium partial 16S ribosomal RNA". It matches the Rfam family "Bacterial small subunit ribosomal RNA", at positions 355 to 776 of the family's 1533-position model. The record is from RNAcentral. Lineage: Bacteria; Pseudomonadati; Pseudomonadota.